This 28-nucleotide small RNA is filed under the name Bombyx mori (domestic silkworm). RNAcentral's name for it is "ovarian small RNA-35762". Lineage: Eukaryota; Metazoa; Arthropoda; Insecta; Lepidoptera; Bombycidae. The record is from RNAcentral.
UGUCUACAAUUGAGGCAUGGCCUAAUUC